UCGAAAAUUCAGUUUCAAUCCCUUUUCUACUUUAUUCCUUAAGCAGAUCAAGCGUCGAUCUCGUAGUUGUCCUUCUUUAAUUUGUUGAAUGAGAUCAGAUUGCACUUGGAUGGAGGCCAUUAAUAUCAUUGAGUCUUGCCCUUUUCUCAUAACAUUCAAAUCAUAAUUCUCUUCUAAUAACUUUCAUUGCUUCAUAACCAAAGUCGCCAUAAAACUUGUAGAUU
RNAcentral lists this long non-coding RNA (224 nucleotides) under Musa acuminata (dwarf banana). RNAcentral's name for it is "long non-coding RNA (MACU_LNC003395)". Lineage: Eukaryota; Viridiplantae; Streptophyta; Magnoliopsida; Zingiberales; Musaceae. The record is from RNAcentral.